Molecule: small nucleolar RNA, 133 nt
Filed under: Castor canadensis (American beaver)
Lineage: Eukaryota; Metazoa; Chordata; Mammalia; Rodentia; Castoridae
Description: Small nucleolar RNA SNORA51 (ENSCCNG00000001467.1)
Rfam family: Small nucleolar RNA SNORA51
About the family: ACA51 is a member of the H/ACA class of snoRNA that guide the sites of modification of uridines to pseudouridines.
Source: Rfam by way of RNAcentral
AGUCUCCUGGUGCUUACCACAGGCUGUGUUCUUACAUCGACUGUAUAGAAAGAGGAGGCAAAGUAAACCUACCGCAUGUACACCUCAGCCCAGGCCCUGUGCCUGAUCGGUAUUGUGAAUGGCGGAGACAUGG